AACGAACGCUGGCGGCAGGCCUAACACAUGCAAGUCGAGCGAACCCUUCGGGGUUAGCGGCGGACGGGUGAGUAACGCGUGGGAACGUGCCUUUUGGUUCGGAACAGCCCCUGGAAACGGGGAUUAAUUCCGGAUGUGCCCUUCGGGGAAAGACUUCGGUCGCCAAGGGAUCGGCCCGCGUCGGAUUAGGUAGUUGGUGGGGUAACGGCCUACCAAGCCUUCGAUCCGUACCUGGUUUGAGAGGAUGACCAGGCACACUGGGACUGAGACACGGCCCAG
Molecule: ribosomal RNA, 279 nt
Filed under: uncultured bacterium
Lineage: Bacteria
Description: partial 16S ribosomal RNA
Rfam family: Bacterial small subunit ribosomal RNA
Source: RNAcentral